AACGAACGCUGGCGGCAUGCCUAACACAUGCAAGUCGAACGAGACCUUCGGGUCUAGUGGCGCACGGGUGCGUAACGCGUGGGAACCUGCCCUUAGGUUCGGAAUAACUCCCCGAAAGGGGUGCUAACACCGGAUAAUGUCUUCGGACCAAAGAUUUAUCGCCUUUGGAUGGGCCCGCGUUGGAUUAGCUAGUUGGUAGGGUAAAAGCCUACCAAGGCGACGAUCCAUAGCUGGUCUGAGAGGAUGAUCAGCCACACUGGGACUGAGACACGGCCCAGACUCCUACGGGAGGCAGCAGUGGGGAAUAUUGGACAAUGGGCGAAAGCCUGAUCCAGCAAUGCCGCGUGAGUGAUGAGGGCCUUAGGGUUGUAAAGCUCUUUUACCCGGGAUGAUAAUGACAGUACCGGGAGAAUAAGCUCCGGCUAACUCCGUG
RNAcentral lists this ribosomal RNA (433 nucleotides) under uncultured bacterium. RNAcentral's name for it is "partial 16S ribosomal RNA". It matches the Rfam family "Bacterial small subunit ribosomal RNA", at positions 29 to 507 of the family's 1533-position model. The record is from RNAcentral.